AUUGAACGCUGGCGGAAUGCUUUACACAUGCAAGUCGAACGGCAGCACGGACUUCGGUCUGGUGGCGAGUGGCGAACGGGUGAGUAAUGUAUCGGAACGUGCCCAGACGUGGGGGAUAACGUAGUGAAAAUUACGCUAAUACCGCAUACGAUCUAUGGAUGAAAGCGGGGGAUCGCAAGACCUCGCGCGAUUGGAGCGGCCGAUAUCAGAUUAGGUAGUUGGUGGGGUAAAGGCCCACCAAGCCAACGAUCUGUAGCUGGUCUGAGAGGACGACCAGCCACACUGGAACUGGGACACGGUCCAGACUCCUACGGGAGGCAGCAGUGGGGAAUUUUGGACAAUGGGCGAAAGCCUGAUCCAGCCAUUCCGCGUGCAGGAUGAAGGCCCUCGGGUUGUAAACUGCUUUUGUACAGAACGAAAAGGUUUCUACUAAUACUAGGAGCUCAUGACGGUACUGUAAGAAUAAGCACCGACUAACUACGUGCCAGCCGCCGCAGUAA
RNAcentral lists this ribosomal RNA (500 nucleotides) under uncultured bacterium. RNAcentral's name for it is "partial 16S ribosomal RNA". It matches the Rfam family "Bacterial small subunit ribosomal RNA", at positions 30 to 523 of the family's 1533-position model. The record is from RNAcentral.